Ailuropoda melanoleuca (giant panda) is the source of this 1478-nucleotide long non-coding RNA. RefSeq lists it as uncharacterized. The transcript has 8 exons. Lineage: Eukaryota; Metazoa; Chordata; Mammalia; Carnivora; Ursidae. The record is from RefSeq and is a predicted model, not a curated record.
CCAAGACCUGACCUGAGAUCAAGAGUUGGACACUUAACUGACUGAACCACCCAGGCACCCCAAGGCAUUUGAAGCCAAGACCGAAUCCUGCUUGCCCCAGGAGAAGGGCGGAUCAGCAAUGUGCAGUGUGAGUCCUGUUCUGGCCUGGGUCGGCCCCUGCAUUUCUGGAGAAAUGAAUCCGUGUUCAACAGGAAGAUCAAGAGAAUGAGACAGAGAAAACAUCUACAAAGAUGAUGAAAGCAAGGCUCCGAGAGCCCGUCUGAGAUCUCCCAGCAGCAGCAGCAGCAGGGCAGAAAUGCACGCCCAGGUCUGUCUGAUCGCAGAAGCCACGUGUUUGCCUUCAUGCCAGUGUCUCUCAACAGAUUCAGCACCAUUUAAACUGGUAGGCUUCACGACCAGCAUGGAGCCAGUGUAAGGCUUGAACUCAUGAUCCUGACAUUAAGACCUGAGCUGAGAUUGAGUUGGACGCUUAACUGACUUGAGCCACGGAGGCGCCCUGAAAAUAUCUGUUCUAAAAUUAGAAAAACAGGUCAACAUGGCUCAACUCCAACUGCAGCUGAGAGCUUGAUAUAUUCCACAAAACAAUGAGAUCCAGUGGCCCCUGACCCCAAAACCAUCCAUCUUCUAGGAGUGAAAUUCUGGCUGCCCAGGAGUGAGGAUCCAGAGAGGGCUGGUCCAAAAGAUCUGCUCUGCAUGGCUCUGGAACUCCCAGCCAGGAGACGAUCUUCACGGGGCCAAAGUGGAAUCUCCGGGCAACGAAGACAUGACCUGUCCCCAGACUGAAGGCUGUAACUUUCCCCUGGUUUCAACCAGGUUAGGGCGAUUUUAAAUGACUCGUUUAAAGUUUUCAGAAAGCAAGCACUAUUUGGACUCACAGAAGCCAGGAGCGAUUUGUCUGGGUACCAAGGAAAGACUACUUGCCCACACACUGGUUCCACUGGUAGUGCUGGAGGUAGCCCUGGGGGCAGCUGCACCGGUAGCCCCCGAUGAUGUUCUGGCAGCCGUGCUGGCAGCGGUGGUUUCCUUCACACUCGUCCACAUCUGAAAAGGAAGGGAGAGCCGCCUUGAAGCCACGUCAACAUUUGUCUCCGAGUCGUUCUCUGAAGCAACAUUUAUAUGAGUGCCAAAUGGAGAGGCAAUUUUACCAAGAAAUCUGACCCCGAAAAGAUUAUUCUACCACCAGAAUGUCAAGACUAUGUGCUCCGGAGCUUUUGGUUAUGCUACUCAGCAGAAAAGCCUUGACUACUGAGGAAAGGCACAUGGUAUAGACAUGAUCAAGCCUGAGACAAAAGAUGGAUCUCUAAACUAUGACACCUGUGCCGACCCGGUGAAGUAUUUCCCACCUGCGGUCGGCUGUCCUCCCUGUGCUCUGUUCCGAGAUCUCACAGAGGAGGACGAAGAAGAGAGAAUGAAAGUCACCCAGCCUCCCUCCCCCAGGACCUAGCAGCUGCAUCAGGCUGCGGACCCCACCCACCUUC